GGUGCAGCAGGCGCGAAAACUUUACACUGCGGGAAACCGCGAUAAGGGGACCCCGAGUGCCAGCACUUAGUGCUGGCUGUCCAGCUGUCUAAAUAACAGUUGUUAGCAAGGGCCGGGCAAGACCGGUGCCAGCCGUUGCGGUAACACCGGCGGCCCGAGUGGUAACCGCUAUUAUUGGGUCUAAAGGGUCUGUAGCCGGCUUGGUUAGUCUCUUGGGAAAUCCGGCAGCUUAACUGUCGGGCUUUCAGGAGAUACUGCCAGGCUCGAGACCGGGAGAGGUGAGAGGUACUUCAUGGGUAGGGGUGAAAUCUUGUAAUCCUUGAAGGACCACCAGCGGCGAAGGCGUCUCACCAGAACGGAUCUGACGGCAAGGGACGAAAGCUAGGGGCACGAACCGGAUUAGAUACCCGGGUAGUCCUAGCCGUAAACGAUACUCGCUAGGUGUCGGCCACGGUGCGACCGUGGUCGGUGCCGUAGGGAAGCCGUGAAGCGAGCCACCUGGGAAGUACGGCCGCAAGGCUGAAACUUAAAGGAAUUGGCGGGGGAGC
This 548-nucleotide ribosomal RNA is filed under the name uncultured archaeon. RNAcentral describes it as "bacterial SSU rRNA". It matches the Rfam family "Archaeal small subunit ribosomal RNA", at positions 329 to 877 of the family's 1478-position model. The record is from RNAcentral.